CGGUUAGAAAGCUCGUAGUUGGAUUUCUGUUGAGGAUGACCGGUCCGCUCUUUGAGCGCGUAUCUGGUUCAGCCUUGGCAUCCUCUUGGGGAACGCUACUGUGCUUGAUUGCAUGGGGCGGUAUUCAAGACUUUUACUUUGAGGAAAUUAGAGUGUUCACUGCAAGCGUUAGCAAUUGAAUACAUUAGCAUGGAAUAAUAAUAUAGGACCUUGGUACUAUUUUGUUGGUUUCUAGAACUAAGGUAAUGGUUAAUAGGGACAAUUGGGGGCAUUCGUAUUAACGCGUCAGAGGUGGAAUUCUUAGAUUGCGUUACGACGAACUACUGCGAAAGCAUUUGCCAAGGAUGUUUUCAUUGAUCAAGAACGAAAGUAUGGGGAUCGAAGACGCUUGGAUACCGUCGUAGUCUAUACCAUAAACUAUGCCAACUAGAGAUUGGAGGUCGUUCUCUUUAUGACUCCUUCAGCACCUUAUGAGAAAUCAAAGUCUUUGGGUUCCGGGGGGAGUAUGGUCGCAAGGCUGAAACUUAAAGGAAUUGACGGAAGGGCACCACCAGGAGUGGAGCCUGCGGCUUAAUUUGACUCAACACGGGAAAACUUACCAGGUCCAGACAUAGUAAGGAUUGACAGAUUGAUAGCUCU
RNAcentral lists this ribosomal RNA (639 nucleotides) under uncultured marine eukaryote. RNAcentral's name for it is "SSU rRNA". It matches the Rfam family "Eukaryotic small subunit ribosomal RNA", at positions 616 to 1258 of the family's 1831-position model. The record is from RNAcentral.